GGUUAACACUCCUCUGGCUUUAUAUAAGCUGCCCCAGGCCACCUGCUGUGCGCUACACCUUCAGUCUUUUUCGUAGCUCCUGGAAGCAGCUGCCGGGACAGGCUGGUCCUCACCAUGGCCACCUGCUGGCAGGCACUAUGGGCCUAUCGCUCCUACCUGAUUGUGCUAUGUCUGCCCAUUUUCCUGUUGCCUCUGCCACUCAUUGUCCAAACUAAGGAAGCCUACUGUGCUUACUCCAUCAUCCUCAUGGCGCUGCUGUGGUGUACAGAGGCCCUGCCCUUGGCUGUCACCGCCCUCUUCCCCAUCAUCCUCUUCCCUUUGAUGGGUAUCAUGGAAGCCUCCAAGGUCUGCUUAGAGUACUUCAAGGACACCAACAUAUUGUUCGUCGGGGGUCUGAUGGUGGCCAUCGCCGUGGAGCACUGGAACCUGCACAAGCGCAUUGCCCUUGGAGUGCUCCUUAUCAUAGGAGUGCGGCCCGCCCUGCUGCUUCUGGGCUUCAUGUUGGUCACAGCCUUCCUCUCCAUGUGGAUCAGCAACACAGCCACCACAGCCAUGAUGCUGCCCAUCGGGUAUGCAGUCCUGGAGCAGCUGCAGGGCUCACAAAAGGAUGUGGAGGAAGGCAAUAGUAACCCUUCCUUUGAGCUCCAGGAAGCAAGUCCCCAGAAGGAGGAGACCAAGCUUGAUAACGGUCAGGCUGUAUCUGUUUCUUCGGAGCCAAGAGCUCAGAAGACCAAAGAGCAUCACCGCUUCAGCCAGGGCCUGAGUCUCUGCAUCUGCUACUCAGCCAGCAUUGGGGGCAUUGCCACCCUGACGGGUACCACACCCAACCUGGUGCUCCAAGGCCAGGUCAACUCGAUCUUCCCUGAAAAUAGUAACGUGGUGAACUUUGCUUCAUGGUUUGGUUUUGCCUUCCCCACCAUGGUGAUCUUGCUGCUACUGGCUUGGCUAUGGCUACAGGUCCUCUUCCUGGGUGUCAACCCUGAAGACCCCAGCCAGGCACCUUCCCAUAGUGCUCCAUGGUCCUUGGAUGAGCUGUUGGGGAUUCCUCAAGGAACACAGUUUGUUAGAGAAGCAUUUGAGCUUCCGGAAGAACUUUGGCUUUGGGGAAGGGGAAGAGGAACGGAAGCAGGCUGCCUUCCAGGUCAUCAAGACCCAGCACAGGCUGCUGGGCCCCAUGAGUUUUGCAGAGAAGGCUGUCACUUUCCUGUUUGUCCUGCUAGUGGUGCUCUGGUUCACGAGGGAGCCGGGCUUCUUCCCAGGCUGGGGUGACACAGCUUUCGCCAAUAAAAAAGGGCAAAGCAUGGUAUCAGAUGGGACAGUGGCCAUCUUUAUCAGCCUGAUUAUGUUCAUCAUACCCUCCAAGAUUCCAGGACUAACCGAGGACCCAAAAAAACCAGGGAAGCUGAAGGCUCCUCCUGCCAUCCUCACCUGGAAGACAGUGAACGAUAAGAUGCCCUGGAAUAUCCUGAUCUUGCUGGGUGGGGGCUUUGCCCUGGCCAAAGGCAGUGAGGAAUCAGGUUUGUCUAAGUGGCUGGGAGACAAACUGACCCCGCUGCAGCACGUACCGCCAUCAGCCACCGUGCUCAUCCUCUCUCUAUUGGUGGCCAUCUUCACUGAGUGCACCAGCAACGUGGCCACCACUACACUAUUUCUGCCCAUCCUGGCCUCCAUGGCACAGGCCAUCUGCCUUCACCCGCUCUAUGUCAUGCUUCCCUGCACCCUGGCUGCCUCCCUAGCUUUCAUGCUACCCGUGGCCACUCCACCCAACGCCAUUGUCUUCUCUUUUGGAGGCCUCAAAGUGUCUGAUAUGGCCCGUGCAGGAUUCCUGCUCAAUAUCAUCGGAGUGCUGACUAUCACAUUAUCCAUAAACAGCUGGAGUAUCCCUAUCUUCAAGCUGGACACAUUUCCCACCUGGGCCUACUCCAACACAAGCCAGUGCCUUCUCAAUCCGCCUAAUUCCACUGUACCAGGCCACUAGACUAUGGUACAACCUAGCUCUGCUAGGGGAAAAGCCGCUGGUGCCACUCCUCGGAGCCAGGAGAGGGCGCUCCAAACUCCAAGUCCCGGGACAGAGGUGCAGAAUCGGCUGGCGCAUGCGAAAUCAUGUAUUCGUGUGUUUGCCUACAUCCUGUAUGUGUGCUCUCCGGUGAAGAGGAAGAUGCUCGUGUCUCCGUGUGGUGUGCGUGGACGCUUGCGUGUGGUGUGGCCUGAGGGCUCCUCAGUAGUUGUAUGCAUGGCAACCGCGCCCGCCCUCUGACUCCCAGCUAGGCCUCCAGAUCUCUUUGCCCUGUAUUUAUUGAAACUCUGGGCAGGAGGCCCCUGGGAGCAGGAACUCCAAGGUUCAUUAAAGGCUUUUUCAGUAGA
Molecule: RNA transcript, 2364 nt
Organism: Mus musculus (house mouse)
Lineage: Eukaryota; Metazoa; Chordata; Mammalia; Rodentia; Muridae
Gene: Slc13a2
Gene name: solute carrier family 13 (sodium-dependent dicarboxylate transporter), member 2
Exons: 13
Source: RefSeq, marked validated